CCCUGUUCAGUGAUUUCGGUCGCUGUCUAAGGACUAGCAGUGGGGAUCUUAGCAACUUCGGUUGCAUUUCUGGUGAUGACUCUGAAUAACUGAGCAAAUCGUAUGGCCUCUGAGCCGACGAUGUAUCCCUCAAGCAACUGCCUUAUCAACUGUCGAUGGUAGGUUAUGCGCCUACCAUGGUUGUAACGGGUAACGGGGAAUUAGGGUUCGAUUCCGGAGAGGGAGCCUGAGAAACGGCUACCACAUCUAAGGAAGGCAGCAGGCGCGCAAAUUACACAAUCCCAGUACGGGGAUGUAGUGACGAAAAAUAACAAUACGGGACUCUAUUGAGGCCCCGUAAUUGGAAUGAGUACAAUUUAAAUCCCUUAACGAGGAACAAUUGGAGGGCAAGUCUGGUGCCAGCAGCCGCGGUAAUUCCAGCUCCAAUAGCGUAUAUUAAAGUUGCUGAGGUUAAAAAGCUCGUAGUUGAACCUUGGCCCUGGCUGGCCGGUCCGCCUCACCGCGAGCACUGGUCCGGCCGGGGCUUUCCCUCUGGGGACCCUCAUGCCCUUCACUGGGUGUGCUGGAGAACCAGGACUUUUACUGUGAACAAAUCAGAUCGCUCAAAGAAGGCUCUCGCUCGAAUGCUUCAGCAUGGAAUAAUAAAAUAGGACGUGCGGUUCUAUUUUGUUGGUUUCUAGGACCGCCGUAAUGAUUAAUAGGGACAGUCGGGGGUGUCAGUAUUCAAUCGUCAGAGGUGAAAUUCUUGGAUCGAUUGAAGACUAACUACUGCGAAAGCAUUCACCAAGGAUGUUUUCAUUAAUCAGGAACGAAAGUUAGGGGAUCGAAGACGAUCAGAUACCGUCGUAGUCUUAACCAUAAACUAUGCCGAUUAGGGAUCGGACGAUGUUAUUUUUUGACUCGUUCGGCACCUUACGAUAAAUCAAAAUGUUUGGGCUCCUGGGGGAGUAUGGUCGCAAGGCUGAAACUUAAAGAAAUUGACAGAUGGGCACCACCAGGGGUGGAGCCUGCGGCUUAAUUUGACUCAACACGGGGAAA
RNAcentral lists this ribosomal RNA (1038 nucleotides) under wallaby gut metagenome. RNAcentral describes it as "bacterial SSU rRNA". It matches the Rfam family "Eukaryotic small subunit ribosomal RNA", at positions 197 to 1213 of the family's 1831-position model. The record is from RNAcentral.